AAGCAGCGGAGCAUGUGGUUUAAUUCGAAGCAACGCGAAGAACCUUACCAGAGCUUGACACCUCCUGCAUAAUCCGUAAUGGGAUGAAAUCCUUCGGGACAGGAAGACAGGUGGUGCAUGGUUGUCGUCAGCUCGUGUCGUGAGAUGUUGGGUUAAGUCCCGCAACGAGCGCAACCCCUAUACUUAGUUGCCAUCAUUAAGUUGGGCACUCUAAGUAGACUGCCGGAGACAAUUCGGAGGAAGGUGGGGAUGACGUCAAAUCAUCAUGCCCCUUAUGUUCUGGGCUACACACGUGCUACAAUGGGUAUAACAACGGGAAGCAAGCCAGCGAUGGUGAGCAAAUCCCUAAAAAAUACUCCCAGUUCAGAUUGUUCUCUGCAACUCGAGAACAUGAAGUCGGAGUUGCUAGUAAUCGCGAAUCAGCAUGUCGCGGUGAAUACGUUCCCGGGCCUUGUACACACCGCCCGUCACACCAUGGGAGUUGGAAGCACCCGAAGCCGGUGACUUAACCGCAAGGAGAGAGCCGUCGAAGGUGAAGCCGAUGACUGGGGUGAAGUCGUAACAAGGUAGCCGUAUCGGAAGGUGCGGCUGGAUCACCUCCUU
This 603-nucleotide ribosomal RNA is filed under the name uncultured bacterium. Its description in RNAcentral is "bacterial SSU rRNA". It matches the Rfam family "Bacterial small subunit ribosomal RNA", at positions 927 to 1532 of the family's 1533-position model. The record is from RNAcentral.